Molecule: ribosomal RNA, 329 nt
Filed under: uncultured archaeon
Lineage: Archaea
Description: bacterial SSU rRNA
Rfam family: Bacterial small subunit ribosomal RNA
Source: RNAcentral
AAGAAGCACCGGCUAACUCCGUGCCAGCAGCCGCGGUAAUACGGAGGGUGCAAGCGUUAAUCGGAAUUACUGGGCGUAAAGCGCACGCAGGCGGUUGGAUAAGUUACAUGUGAAAGCCCCGGGCUCAACCUGGGAAUUGCAUUUAAAACUGUCCAGCUAGAGUCUUGUACAGGGGGGUAGAAUUCCAGGUGUAGCGGUGAAAUGCGUAGAGAUCUGGAGGAAUACCCGGUGGCGAAAGCGGACCCCUGUGACAAAGACUGACGCCUCAGGUGCGAAAGCGUGGUGAGCAAACAGGAUUAGAUACCCUGGUAAUCCACGCCGUAAACGAU